GACGAACGCUGGCGGCGUGCUUAACACAUGCAAGUCAGGGGGGCGGGGUAACCCGUCACCGGCGAACGGGUGCGUAACACGUGAGCGACCUGCCCGAGUGUGGGGGAUAGCCGGCCCAACGGCCGGGUAAUACCGCAUACGCCUGCGGCGUAGAGGCCGACAGGGAAGCCCGUAAGGGGCACACGGAGGGGCUCGCGGCCUAUCAGCUAGUUGGUGCGGUCACGGCGCACCAAGGCGAUGACGGGUAGCUGGUCUGAGAGGAUGGCCAGCCACAUUG
RNAcentral lists this ribosomal RNA (277 nucleotides) under uncultured bacterium. RNAcentral describes it as "partial 16S ribosomal RNA". It matches the Rfam family "Bacterial small subunit ribosomal RNA", at positions 28 to 315 of the family's 1533-position model. The record is from RNAcentral.